AUUAAAAUGAUUAGCAGAAGAACGAAAGUUUAAUCGGCGGUGGCUUAGUACAAUCUGAAAGGAUGUGGUGCCUAUGGGAGAAAUCUCUAACACUCAGAACUUACAGAAAGGAAAAGCUCAUACUAUGACAGUGUAUGAAACGCUACAACUAAUGCUUGCUUUUGGUGCAUUUGUUGUUGCGUUGCUAUCACUUGUA
RNAcentral lists this small RNA (196 nucleotides) under Pilibacter termitis. RNAcentral describes it as "Listeria sRNA rli28". It matches the Rfam family "Listeria sRNA rli28". Lineage: Bacteria; Bacillati; Bacillota; Bacilli; Lactobacillales; Enterococcaceae. The record is from Rfam by way of RNAcentral.